AAGCAGGUGGAUUUCAUUUUCAAAAGACGAUUUCACUUUAGUAACGUUUGUUGAUUUCCUUCAUUUAUAUUUAAUGGGUUUUGGAUAUUUGAUUUCGUGCGAUUUUAUUAUUGAUUUUAUGUUUUUUCAUUGCUGAUUUUGUGGUUUUGAAUAGUUGAUUUUGUGGGGUUUUAUUAUUGAUUUUGUGGGGUUUUGAUUGCUAAUUUAGGGUUUCGAUUAUUGAUUUUAUGAGGAUUAGGUUAACAUGGACGAUUUACUUGCAUUUUAGUAAAGAUUUUUGGGCGUUAAUAUAGGAGAUUAUUUUAUGGGUUUUGAAUA
This 318-nucleotide unclassified non-coding RNA is filed under the name Hevea brasiliensis (rubber tree). Lineage: Eukaryota; Viridiplantae; Streptophyta; Magnoliopsida; Malpighiales; Euphorbiaceae. The record is from RNAcentral.